AAAAAAUUUAACUAUUUUUUGACUUUAUUGCUCGCAAGGGUAAAUUUGAGCUUAUAAACUCCCUGUCCGCAUUUACACCCAUUUUAAGGCGUGGAUUUUUUCUUUUCUUUUUGAAUUUAAGGCGUGCAUUUUUUGGAACUCCACGUGCUCAAAGUAAUAGGUUUUCUUAGGGGGGCUCUGCUCGCUGAUCCGAUGAUUCAUGAUAACUCGACGGAUCGCACGGCCUUCAUGCCGGCGACGCAUCAUUCAAAUUUCUGCCCUAUCAACUUUCGAUGGUAGGAUAGGGGCUACCGUGGUGGUGAUGGGUGACGGAGAAUUAGUACUCAAAG
This 329-nucleotide ribosomal RNA is filed under the name Triticum aestivum (bread wheat). RNAcentral describes it as "rRNA SSU_rRNA_eukarya". It matches the Rfam family "Eukaryotic small subunit ribosomal RNA", at positions 110 to 382 of the family's 1831-position model. Lineage: Eukaryota; Viridiplantae; Streptophyta; Magnoliopsida; Poales; Poaceae. RNAcentral also lists the same sequence under 1 other name. The record is from RNAcentral.